Molecule: long non-coding RNA, 932 nt
Filed under: Corvus moneduloides (New Caledonian crow)
Lineage: Eukaryota; Metazoa; Chordata; Aves; Passeriformes; Corvidae
Description: lncRNA (ENSCMUG00000018878.1)
Source: RNAcentral
CCUGCUUUUACUGUCCUUCUGUGGUAGCUUGCAGUCCAUUUCUAAGAGUGGCAGCCUAUAGGAAGGGCUAGAAUCCUGCUGUAGCCUUCAGGGACACACUUGCACUGGGGCAAAAGUAGCCAAGCUGCUCAACGCAUAGAGGAUGCUCACUUCUCCUUGAAAAAUGCCCCAAAGAAACCCUUGGGGGGAAAAAAAAAAAUCUUUUCUUUUUUCCCCUCUGGAAGGAGUUUGUUCUUGUGUAGGCAGGGUCACACUGCAUCCACCAAUCACUGCUGUUUCUAUGUGUCCACAAGUAACAAGCUAACAAAGAACAAGCUAAUUAGACAGAACUAAUAAAAAACAUUGGUAAUUAUUCUCUGAAAGUUCUGAUCUGUGGCUGAUGCAAAAAUGAAGAAUUUGUGCUUCUCAAUGUGUUUCCCGUUUGCUGUCUCACAUUCUUUCUAGCUCUACCUAGAUUUUCUUAUUUGUUUGUUUUAAAUGCCAUUGAAACCAUGGCAGCAAGGGCAGUGGAAGGAAAGAACAAAGAAGGUGGAGAAGAUGGAGUCCUUUUAUACCUGAAUUCAGGGGGCAGGUGGGAAUAUGCUGAAGCAGAAGCACCAAAGUGAGAAGAAGGUCUUCUAAGGUAUUUCAAAUCAAAGGAAAGUAAACCAAGACAGAACAGAUGCUUGAAAUACAGAAUAAUCUUCAGUGUGUAUCCCAAAGAUAAGAGUGAGGAAUCUCAAAGCUACGUUUCUGCAACAAGAAUGCCAAGUAAAAAAAGAGUGCUUGUCCCUCAGCGAGCUCACAUCACUGCCAUGCCACAAGGAGAAGCAAAACUGAAGAAAUUAUAUCCCGUGGAGCACAAAGAUUUCCCACCAUCCUACAGGCCAACACUGUUGGUACACUCAGUACCUCAGCAGCUGUACAGCUGAGGACGGAUCUGCGCCCAGUUU